GAUUAGAUUGCAUCAGGA
RNAcentral lists this unclassified non-coding RNA (18 nucleotides) under Mus musculus (house mouse). RNAcentral describes it as "oocyte_clustered_small_RNA6384". Lineage: Eukaryota; Metazoa; Chordata; Mammalia; Rodentia; Muridae. The record is from RNAcentral.